GAUCCUGGCUCAGGACGAACGCUGGCGGCACGCUUAACACAUGCAAGUCGAACGAGAGAAGAGAAGCUUGCUUUUCUGAUCUAGUGGCGGACGGGUGAGUAACACGUGAGCAAUCUGCCUUUCAGAGGGGGAUACCGAUUGGAAACGAUCGUUAAUACCGCAUAACAUAAUUGAACCGCAUAAUUUGAUUAUCAAAGAUUUAUCGCUGAAAGAUGAGCUCGCGUCUGAUUAG
Molecule: ribosomal RNA, 232 nt
Filed under: uncultured bacterium
Lineage: Bacteria
Description: partial 16S ribosomal RNA
Rfam family: Bacterial small subunit ribosomal RNA
Source: RNAcentral